CUGGAGGUAUCAGAAGUGCGAAUGCUGACAUAAGUAACGAUAAAGCGGGUGAAAAGCCCGCUCGCCGGAAGACCAAGGGUUCCUGUCCAACGUUAAUCGGGGCAGGGUGAGUCGACCCCUAAGGCGAGGCCGAAAGGCGUAGUCGAUGGGAAACAGGUUAAUAUUCCUGUACUUGGUGUUACUGCGAAGGGGGGACGGAGAAGGCUAUGUUGGCCGGGCGACGGUUGUCCCGGUUUAAGCGUGUAGGCUGGUUUUCCAGGCAAAUCCGGAAAAUCAAGGCUGAGGCGUGAUGACGAGGCACUACGGUGCUGAAGCAACAAAUGCCCUGCUUCCAGGAAAAGCCUCUAAGCAUCAGGUAACAUCAAAUCGUACCCCAAACCGACACAGGUGGUCAGGUAGAGAAUACCAAGGCGCUUGAGAGAACUCGGGUGAAGGAACUAGGCAAAAUGGUGCCGUAACUUCGGGAGAAGGCACGCUGAUAU
This 482-nucleotide ribosomal RNA is filed under the name Escherichia coli. RNAcentral's name for it is "partial 23S ribosomal RNA". It matches the Rfam family "Bacterial large subunit ribosomal RNA", at positions 1273 to 1757 of the family's 2925-position model. The record is from RNAcentral. Lineage: Bacteria; Pseudomonadati; Pseudomonadota; Gammaproteobacteria; Enterobacterales; Enterobacteriaceae.